UGCAACUCGACUACAUGAAGCUGGAAUCGCAGUAAUCGCGGAUCAGAAUGCCGCGGUGAAUACGUUCCCGGGUCUUGUACACACCGCCCGUCACACCAUGGGAGUCGGAAAUGCCCGAAGUCGGUGACUUAACCGAAAGGAGAGAGCCGCCGAAGGCAGGUCUGAUAACUGGGGUGAAGUCGUAACAAGGUAUC
RNAcentral lists this ribosomal RNA (194 nucleotides) under uncultured bacterium. Its description in RNAcentral is "partial 16S ribosomal RNA". It matches the Rfam family "Bacterial small subunit ribosomal RNA", at positions 1306 to 1500 of the family's 1533-position model. The record is from RNAcentral.